Molecule: ribosomal RNA, 305 nt
Filed under: uncultured bacterium
Lineage: Bacteria
Description: bacterial SSU rRNA
Rfam family: Bacterial small subunit ribosomal RNA
Source: RNAcentral
UUGCCUACGGGACGCAGCAGUGAGGAAUAUUGGUCAAUGGGCGCGAGCCUGAACCAGCCAAGUCGCGUGAGGGAAGACGGUCCUAUGGAUUGUAAACCUCUUUUGUCGGGGAGCAAAAGACGCCAUGCGUGGCGUUCCGAGAGUACCCGAAGAAAAAGCAUCGGCUAACUCCGUGCCAGCAGCCGCGGUAAUACGGAGGAUGCGAGCGUUAUCCGGAUUUAUUGGGUUUAAAGGGUGCACAGGCGGAAGAUCAAGUCAGCGGUACAAUAGAGAGGCUCAACCUCUUCGAGCCGUUGAAACUGGUU